GGUUGCUUGGAGAGGAAGUAAAGGUGCGGCGUUGCUAGCUAGCCGAGAGAAAAGAAAAGGGGCUGGAAAGAAAGGCUUUGGGAGAGACAGGUGAUAGUAUAAAACGUCACGGAUGACAUAUUAGGUUGAGUGGAUGUACUAUAGAGGGUUGGUGGAGAUACUAUAGAGGCUUGUCGGAGGUACUGUAGAGGUUUGGUGGAGGUACUGUGGAGGUUGAGUUAUUGAGUCAAGAUUCUAUCAUGUUAUCCAAAUUAUUUUCGCCAUUGAAAUCUAGAGAAGGAGCCUAAGAACUGCUAGCUUGAACUGGAUUUAGGUUUCGAUGUAGAGUUGCUCUGUAUACUCUGGUUGAGAGGGCUGAAUUGGCUAGUUGUUUGUUGCAAAAUCUUUCAUUUUUCCACUGAUAAUGUUGGAACAAAUUAAGUAUAUGAUAAGUGUUGUCCGUUAAAUUGAGUACUCACUCAUGGUUGGGCUGCAGUUUUGAUAAGGGAUAUAGAUAUGAUAAUUGAGUACUCUUCUUUCUAUCAUACCUACCUCCCUUAUCAAAACUGUAGCCCAACCAUUAGUGAGUCAUUAAUUUGACGAACAACACUUAUCAUAUACAAAAUUUGUUACCAAUACUCAUCUCAGAUUUUAUGAUAAUUGUGGGAAAUAUAGUACACCUUUACCACUUUCCAAACUAUGGGUUAAACCUUUACUACACACAAACAUUCAUUUAAUUCUAGGCCUAAAUUUUUUGCUCACACUAGAUAGAGCAUUUCUGUUAACUAAAGACUAUGCCCUUUUCUUCACCACACUUAUUGUAUCCCCAAUAGUAUCUGAUUAUCCAUCUAUUGUUCAUAGAUUGUCAAUGUCCUCUCAAGAAUAGCUGUAAACUAGCAGCUCAAACAUGUGAACUUGCUUUUCAUUAAUAUCUAGAAAAUUAGAACUUAGCUGGUCAAGCCCUUUAUCCAACAUUAUCAUUGGAAAACUGAAAGAUUCUGCAACAAUCGACUAUCUAGUUCAGCCCUCUCAGCCAAAGCAUACAAAGCGACUCUAUAUUGAAACCUGAAUCUAGUUCAAGCUAGUAGUUCUCAAGCUCCUUCUCUAGAUUUCACAGGUGAAAAUAAUUUGGAUAACAUGGUGGAAUCUUGGCUUAACUCAACCUCUUACCUCCACUAAGCCUGUACAGUACCUCCACCAAUUCUCUACAAUACAUCCAAACAACCUAAUAUGUCAUCCAUGACGUUUUAUACUACCACCUGUCUCUCCCCAAGCCUUUCUUUUCAGCACCUUUUCUUUUCUCUCGGCCAGCUGACAACGUCACACCUUUACUUCCUCUCCAAGCAACCUCUCUUUCCUUGCUCCCCAAGCAACCCUGCUUUCUCCUAUUAAAAGACCUCACCUCCUCUUCUUCAAGCAAGUUGCAGCAAGUAUAAGCAGCGCAAGUUCCCCGCAAGUCCCAGUUCACUAAAUACUAGUUCUGUUGUAAAUUUUCUUCUAGGUGGCGUUGAGGUUGACCAUGAGAAGACUUUGAGCAAGAGGAACUUGAUGCUGUGAUUGAGCCCACGUGUCAAAGAAGAACGAAGGAGGAUGAAAAUGCUAGUGACCGGCGCUCAAGAGGGUAGAGAAAAAGAUGAUGAACAUGAAGAUGAAUAGUGAAUUCUUAGAGCCUAGCUUGCAUACUUGCGCCUUUAGGAGCCCUUUAUAUAGUGCUAGUUUUCCUCUGUGCAUGAUUGAAGAUCGAUUAUUCUGAUAUUGUAACAACUUUCCUAAAAUAAACCUACCAUUUCUGUGCUUUGCAAGGUA
Long non-coding RNA from Zingiber officinale, 1785 nucleotides. RefSeq lists it as uncharacterized. The transcript has 2 exons. The record is from RefSeq and is a predicted model, not a curated record. NCBI's taxonomy places the organism in Eukaryota, Viridiplantae, Streptophyta, Magnoliopsida, Zingiberales, Zingiberaceae.